This 1013-nucleotide ribosomal RNA is filed under the name Klebsiella michiganensis. Its description in RNAcentral is "partial 23S ribosomal RNA". It matches the Rfam family "Bacterial large subunit ribosomal RNA", at positions 1918 to 2925 of the family's 2925-position model. The record is from RNAcentral. Lineage: Bacteria; Pseudomonadati; Pseudomonadota; Gammaproteobacteria; Enterobacterales; Enterobacteriaceae.
CCCCGGUAAACGGCGGCCGUAACUAUAACGGUCCUAAGGUAGCGAAAUUCCUUGUCGGGUAAGUUCCGACCUGCACGAAUGGCGUAAUGAUGGCCAGGCUGUCUCCACCCGAGACUCAGUGAAAUUGAACUCGCUGUGAAGAUGCAGUGUACCCGCGGCAAGACGGAAAGACCCCGUGAACCUUUACUAUAGCUUGACACUGAACACUGGUCCUUGAUGUGUAGGAUAGGUGGGAGGCUUUGAAGUGUGGACGCCAGUCUGCAUGGAGCCAUCCUUGAAAUACCACCCUUUAAUGGCUGGUGUUCUAACGUGGGCCCGUAAUCCGGGUUGCGGACAGUGUCUGGUGGGUAGUUUGACUGGGGCGGUCUCCUCCUAAAGAGUAACGGAGGAGCACGAAGGUCAGCUAAUCCUGGUCGGACAUCAGGAGGUUAGUGCAAUGGCAUAAGCUGGCUUGACUGCGAGCGUGACGGCGCGAGCAGGUGCGAAAGCAGGUCAUAGUGAUCCGGUGGUUCUGAAUGGAAGGGCCAUCGCUCAACGGAUAAAAGGUACUCCGGGGAUAACAGGCUGAUACCGCCCAAGAGUUCAUAUCGACGGCGGUGUUUGGCACCUCGAUGUCGGCUCAUCACAUCCUGGGGCUGAAGUAGGUCCCAAGGGUAUGGCUGUUCGCCAUUUAAAGUGGUACGCGAGCUGGGUUUAGAACGUCGUGAGACAGUUCGGUCCCUAUCUGCCGUGGGCGCUGGAGAAUUGAGGGGGGCUGCUCCUAGUACGAGAGGACCGGAGUGGACGCAUCACUGGUGUUCGGGUUGUCAUGCCAAUGGCAUUGCCCGGUAGCUAAAUGCGGAAGAGAUAAGUGCUGAAAGCAUCUAAGCACGAAACUUGCCCCGAGAUGAGUUCUCCCUGACCCUUUAAGGGUCCUGAAGGAACGUUGAAGACGACGACGUUGAUAGGCCGGGUGUGUAAGCGCAGCGAUGCGUUGAGCUAACCGGUACUAAUGAACCGUGAGGCUUAACCUU